This 773-nucleotide long non-coding RNA is filed under the name Capsella rubella. Its description in RNAcentral is "long non-coding RNA (CRUB_LNC003375)". Lineage: Eukaryota; Viridiplantae; Streptophyta; Magnoliopsida; Brassicales; Brassicaceae. The record is from RNAcentral.
UCAAGUAUGCAUAUAGCCACGCAGCAAGAGCACAUGCGUGUAUUCUUACAUAUAAAAUAUUUAAAAGAAAGAUGCGAUUUUGAUAGGUAGGUAUGUAAAAACGAUAAUGGAGUAGUAAGUGACAAUAACACAUUUUAUGUUGGAGGGUUUUGAUUCGUGAAUGCAUGCUAUUUGUUAGAAUUGUUAGGUUAUAUAUGUGAUUUCCAUAUCCAUAGUAUAAUACUAUAAUUAUUGUGUGAAAAAGAGAGAUAAUAAAAUGAGCCUUUUACGUUGUUUUUUUUUUUUUUUUUUUGUACGUGGACAUAUACGUUUUAUAAUGGUCGAAAAUGGAAAUUUUUAUUUCUUAGCAUUUUGGGUAAAUGAUAAGAAGUGAUGUUAAUAUAUAUGUCUAUGUCUAUACCAUCUUUUCUUGCUUGCAUGGAAGUUCUCCACGUGUAGUUUUUUUAUAUCAAUAAUAGUAUGAAUUAGAUUGAAAUGGAGUCCAAUUAAACGAUGGCGUCGAUACGAAAGAAGCACAAAAGAUUGGUAGUGCGACCUUUAUUUUUUUUAACGACUCAUACCAAACACUGAUCAAAGAUAUAUAGCGUCAUCCUUGAACAUGACGUUUUAUUCUUAUUUAUAGAUAGUGAAUGCAUGACGCCUGGAAAUGUUAUGGAUCAUGUUGAAAGAAUUAAAAUAUAGAGCACAAAAUGAUUUUUUUUUUUAAAUAACUGGAUUUUAUAAAUUCAAUACCAUUUAAAGGUUUAAACUGUUGGAAGGUGAUGUGCUAUAAA